GCGGCGAUGGUUUAGUUGGUUAGAAUACGAGCUUGCCAAGCUUGUGACCCGGGUUCGAAUCCCGGUCGCCGCA
Molecule: transfer RNA, 73 nt
Filed under: Nanobdellota archaeon
Lineage: Archaea; Nanobdellati; Nanobdellota
Description: tRNA-Gly
Rfam family: tRNA
About the family: Transfer RNA (tRNA) molecules are approximately 80 nucleotides in length. Their secondary structure includes four short double-helical elements and three loops (D, anti-codon, and T loops).
Source: RNAcentral